Molecule: ribosomal RNA, 739 nt
Filed under: Theba macandrewiana
Lineage: Eukaryota; Metazoa; Mollusca; Gastropoda; Stylommatophora; Helicidae
Description: partial 16S ribosomal RNA
Source: RNAcentral
UGUGUUUAUAGGAUUUAAAUAUUACGUAAUAUAGGAAUAUGGAAAAUAUGUUUAUAGGGGUGAUAGGCUUUUCAAGUACAUUGAUAACUUGAUAUGCAAUAAAAGUAUUUAGUAUUUGAUCACAUUACGAAAGUUAAGCUUCGUAAUAUAUAUUAAUAUUAGAAAUUAUUUUCUUUAUAGUUUAAAAACUAAAUAGUGUAAUAAAUAAUAAUAAAUUAUUUUAAUUUAUAGAAUAAAUUGCAUUAUUAUUUCUAAUUAACUAAUUAAUAAUGUUAAUAUAAGUAAUUUUAUAAGUAAGUUAUAGGAACUCGGCAAAUCUAUUUUUCGACUGUUUAUCAAAAACAUAACUGUGUGUUAUUAUACUCAGCUUUUCCUGCUCAAUGAUAUAUUUAAUAGCCGCAGUACCCUGACUGUGCAAAGGUAGCAUAAUCAGUUGGCUUUUAAUUAAGGUCUAGUAUGAAUGGAAGAACGGAAAAUUGCUGUCUUUAAUUUAUUAAUAGGAAAUUAGUUUGUAAGUGAAAAUACUUACACUUAUAUAAAAGACGAGAAGACCCUAGAAACUUCAAAGAUUUUGUUGGGGCGACAGAAUUACAUAAAACUAGUUCUAAUUAACACGACGUUAAUACAGAUAGAUUAAGUUACUCUAGGGAUAACAGCAUAAUUUUUAUAGUUUGUGACCUCGAUGUUGGACUAGGAAGUUAGUUAUUUAAAAGACAAUUAACAAUGCUCUGUUCGAGCU